GGGGGGGGGGGGGGGUGGGGGGGGCGGGUGCGGGUCGGGGGGGGGCGGAGUGCGGGCGUGCUCUUACGGGUGGCGAGUGGCGGACGGGUGGGGGAUACGGCGGCCUCUCCUGUUUCGUGGGGGAUCACGUAGUGAAACUUACGCUAGUACCGCAUACGCCCUACGGUUGAAAGCCGGUGAUCUUCGUACCUUGCUCUAUUGAUUGACGCGAUGUCUGAUUAGCUAGUUGGCGGGGUAACGACACACCAAGGCGACGGUCCGCAGGUGGUCUGAGAGGAUGAUAAGCCACACUGGAACGGAGACACGGUCCAGAACCCUACGGGAGGCAGCAGUGGGGAAGAUUGGACAAUGGGCGCAAGCCUGAUCCAGCCAUACCGCGUGGGUGAAGAAGGCCUUCGGGUUGUAAAGCCCUUUUGUUGGGAAAGAAAAGCAGCAGGUUAAUACCCCGCUGUUCUGACGGUACCCAAAGAAUAAGCACCGGCUAACUUCGU
Molecule: ribosomal RNA, 491 nt
Filed under: uncultured bacterium
Lineage: Bacteria
Description: partial 16S ribosomal RNA
Rfam family: Bacterial small subunit ribosomal RNA
Source: RNAcentral